Molecule: ribosomal RNA, 454 nt
Filed under: uncultured bacterium
Lineage: Bacteria
Description: partial 16S ribosomal RNA
Rfam family: Bacterial small subunit ribosomal RNA
Source: RNAcentral
UAGGGAAUCUUCCACAAUGGACGCAAGUCUGAUGGAGCAACGCCGCGUGAGUGAAGAAGGUUUUCGGACCGUAAAGCUCUGUUGUUGGUGAAGAAGGAUAGAGGUAGUAACUGGCCUUUAUUUGACGGUAAUCAACCAGAAAGUCACGGCUAACUACGUGCCAGCAGCCGCGGUAAUACGUAGGUGGCAAGCGUUGUCCGGAUUUAUUGGGCGUAAAGCGAGCGCAGGCGGAAGAAUAAGUCUGAUGUGAAAGCCCUCGGCUUAACCGAGGAAUUGCAUCGGAAACUGUUUUCUUGAGUGCAGAAGAGGAGAGUAGAACUCCAUGUGUAGCGGUGGAAUGCGUAGAUAUAUGGAAGAAUACCAGUGGCGAAGGCGGCUCUCUGGUCUGCAACUGACGCUGAGGCUCGAAAGCAUGGGUAGCGAACAGGAUUAGAUACCCUGGUAGUCCAUGCCG